RNAcentral lists this long non-coding RNA (294 nucleotides) under Homo sapiens (human). RNAcentral's name for it is "HSALNT0042105". The record is from RNAcentral. Lineage: Eukaryota; Metazoa; Chordata; Mammalia; Primates; Hominidae.
AUACUGGUGUCAGCAGGACAUUAAAAGCUUGAAGCUUUUUACGUUUGAUCAAAUACCAACAUUAUGCUGAAGCAGAAGUAUUAAUUCAUAGAGUAAAGCUUCCAGAACCUCUCCAGCUCUCCUUCAUCCUUCCUCCCCCCACCAAAAAGGUCACAUCAAAUCAGGGGUUCAGGGACAAAACAGAGACGGGCAUUUUGUCAGUGUUUCAUGUACACAAAACCACUCUAGAACCCAAGGGAGAGACAAGCACUAAAAUAUACUUUUCUAAAAAUGCCAAUCCCAUCUAAGAAAGGG